AUGUCGUGAUAAUAAAGAACAAUACCAUGAGGGCCCAGUGUGCAAUGGUUGCAAACAGCAGCCUUCUCAGUCAUGUAUACAACCUGUUGCCUAUAUAGGUUGCCCUAAGGACCUUGGAGACAACU
Molecule: small nucleolar RNA, 125 nt
Organism: Bison bison bison
Lineage: Eukaryota; Metazoa; Chordata; Mammalia; Artiodactyla; Bovidae
Gene: SNORA70
Rfam family: Small nucleolar RNA SNORA70
About the family: snoRNA U70 seems to be exclusive to mammals and is a member of the H/ACA class of snoRNA which contain H (ANANNA) and ACA box motifs. H/ACA box snoRNAs are involved in the conversion of uridines to pseudouridines (5-ribosyluracil) a constituent of structural RNAs (transfer, ribosomal, small nuclear, and small nucleolar).
Source: Ensembl